This 253-nucleotide ribosomal RNA is filed under the name uncultured bacterium. Its description in RNAcentral is "partial 16S ribosomal RNA". It matches the Rfam family "Bacterial small subunit ribosomal RNA", at positions 524 to 776 of the family's 1533-position model. The record is from RNAcentral.
UACGGGGGGGGCAAGCGUUGUUCGGAAUUACUGGGUUUAAAGGGUGCGUAGGCGGCCAUGUAAGUCAGGAGUGAAAGUUUGCGGCUCAACCGUAAAAUUGCUUUUGAUACUGCAUGGCUGGAAUCAGGAUGAGGUCAGCGGAAUGUGGCAUGUAGCGGUGAAAUGCAUAGAUAUGCCAUAGAACACCAAUUGCGAAGGCAGCUGGCUAGACCUGUAUUGACGCUGAGGCACGAAAGCGUGGGGAGCGAACAGG